This 747-nucleotide ribosomal RNA is filed under the name uncultured marine group III euryarchaeote. Its description in RNAcentral is "bacterial SSU rRNA". It matches the Rfam family "Archaeal small subunit ribosomal RNA", at positions 1 to 752 of the family's 1478-position model. The record is from RNAcentral. Lineage: Archaea; Methanobacteriati; Thermoplasmatota; Thermoplasmata; Candidatus Thermoprofundales.
UUCUGGUUGAUCCUGCCGAAGGCUACUGCUAUUGGAGUUCGAUUAAGCCAUGCGAGUCUAAGGGAUCUUCGGAUCCCUGGCGUAAUGCUCAGUAACACGUGGAUAAUCUACCCUCAGGUGGGGCAUAAACCCGGGAAACUGGGGCCAAUUCCCCAUAAAUACAGAUGGCUGGAAUGCUUCUGUAUUCAAAGCUCCGGCGCCUGAGGAUGAGUCUGCGGCCUAUCAGGUUGUAGUCAGGGUCAAGACCUGACUAGCCAGCGACGGGUAUGGGGUGUGAGAGCACUUGCCCAGAGAUGGUUUCUGAGACACGAAACCAGGCCCUACGGGGCGCAGCAGGCGCGAAAACUUCGCAAUGCGGGAAACCGUGACGAGGGAACUCCGAGUGUCUAUGCAUUGCAUAGACUGUUUUUUAGCCUAAAUAGCUAUUAGAGUAAGGGGUGGGCAAGACCGGUGCCAGCCGCCGCGGUAACACCGGCACCCCGAGUGGUAGCCACUAUUAUUGGGCCUAAAGCGUUCGUAGCCGGUUUGGUAAAUUCUUGGGUAAAUCGUACCGCUCAACGGUGCGGAUUCCGGGGACACUACCAGACUUGAGACCGGGGGAGAUCAGAGGUACUUGCGGGGGAGCGGUGAAAUGUUGUAAUCCCGCAGGGACCACCAGUGGCGAAGGCGUCUGAUCAGAACGGCUCUGACGGUGAGGAACGAAACCCUGGGGCGCAAACGGGAUUAGAUACCCCGGUAGUCCAGGGC